This 265-nucleotide ribosomal RNA is filed under the name uncultured prokaryote. RNAcentral describes it as "partial 16S ribosomal RNA". It matches the Rfam family "Bacterial small subunit ribosomal RNA", at positions 524 to 788 of the family's 1533-position model. The record is from RNAcentral.
UACAGAGGUGGCGAGCGUUGUUCGGAUUUACUGGGCGUAAAGGGCGCGUAGGCGGCCGCGUGUGUCGCGUGUGAAAUCCCCGGGCUCAACCCGGGAAGUGCGCGCGAAACUGCGGGGCUCGAGCGGAGGAGGGGAGAGCGGAAUUCAUGGUGUAGCGGUGAAAUGCGUUGAUAUCAUGAGGAACACCGGUGGCGAAGGCGGCUCUCUGGAAUCCUGCUGACGCUGAGGCGCGAAAGUCGGGGGAGCAAACAGGAUUAGAUACCCG